Molecule: long non-coding RNA, 260 nt
Filed under: Citrus maxima (pomelo)
Lineage: Eukaryota; Viridiplantae; Streptophyta; Magnoliopsida; Sapindales; Rutaceae
Description: long non-coding RNA (CMAX_LNC002730)
Source: RNAcentral
CUGGAGAGAAAAUUACAAAAAAAAUAGAGCUUAAAAAUAGAUUUAAAGGUGCUAAAUUAAGGAGAGCCCUUAUUUAUAGAUACAAUAUGUAAAUCAUGACUAUUGGAUGAAAACAAUUCAAAUGCUCAAGAUUGCGCCAGGUGGUAAGCUUUGAUUGGAUGAAAAACAUCAUCAGUUAAUGUCACAUCAGCAUUUUGGUCCAAAAAUAUGUUGCCAUGUCAUCGAUCAACGCCUCAUCAGCAUUUUGUCCAAUAAACUCC